GACGAACGCUGGCGGCGUGGAUUAGGCAUGCAAGUCGGACGGUAGGGCUUUAUCGUAAGAUAGAGUUUGAGAGUGGCGAACGGGUGAGUAACACGUAGGAAUCUACCCUUAAGACGGGGACAACCCAGGGAAACUUGGGCUAAUACCGGAUGAGAGUGCGAGAGAUUGCAUUUAAAAGGAUGGCGAAAGUUGUCGCUUAGGGAUGAGCCUGCGGUCUAUUAGUUAGUUGGUGAGGUAAGAGCUCACCAAGGCGAUGAUAGAUAGGCGGCCUUAACGGGUGGUCGCCCACACUGGGAUUGAGAUACGGCCCAGACUCCUACGGGAGGCAGCAGUGGGGAAUAUUGGACAAUGGGCGGAAGCCUGAUCCAGCCAUGCCGCGUGUGUGAAGAAGGCCUUUAGGUUGUAAAGCACUUUAAGCGGGGAGGAGGCUACCUGGGAUAAUACCCUGGAGUAGUGGACGUUACCCGCAGAAUAAGCACCGGCUAACUCUGUGCCAGCAGCCGCGGUAAU
Molecule: ribosomal RNA, 510 nt
Filed under: uncultured bacterium
Lineage: Bacteria
Description: bacterial SSU rRNA
Rfam family: Bacterial small subunit ribosomal RNA
Source: RNAcentral